RNAcentral lists this ribosomal RNA (1497 nucleotides) under Klebsiella pneumoniae. RNAcentral describes it as "bacterial SSU rRNA". It matches the Rfam family "Bacterial small subunit ribosomal RNA". The record is from RNAcentral. Lineage: Bacteria; Pseudomonadati; Pseudomonadota; Gammaproteobacteria; Enterobacterales; Enterobacteriaceae.
AAAUUGAAGAGUUUGAUCAUGGCUCAGAUUGAACGCUGGCGGCAGGCCUAACACAUGCAAGUCGAGCGGUAGCACAGAGAGCUUGCUCUCGGGUGACGAGCGGCGGACGGGUGAGUAAUGUCUGGGAAACUGCCUGAUGGAGGGGGAUAACUACUGGAAACGGUAGCUAAUACCGCAUAAUGUCGCAAGACCAAAGUGGGGGACCUUCGGGCCUCAUGCCAUCAGAUGUGCCCAGAUGGGAUUAGCUAGUAGGUGGGGUAACGGCUCACCUAGGCGACGAUCCCUAGCUGGUCUGAGAGGAUGACCAGCCACACUGGAACUGAGACACGGUCCAGACUCCUACGGGAGGCAGCAGUGGGGAAUAUUGCACAAUGGGCGCAAGCCUGAUGCAGCCAUGCCGCGUGUGUGAAGAAGGCCUUCGGGUUGUAAAGCACUUUCAGCGGGGAGGAAGGCGAUAAGGUUAAUAACCUUGUCGAUUGACGUUACCCGCAGAAGAAGCACCGGCUAACUCCGUGCCAGCAGCCGCGGUAAUACGGAGGGUGCAAGCGUUAAUCGGAAUUACUGGGCGUAAAGCGCACGCAGGCGGUCUGUCAAGUCGGAUGUGAAAUCCCCGGGCUCAACCUGGGAACUGCAUUCGAAACUGGCAGGCUAGAGUCUUGUAGAGGGGGGUAGAAUUCCAGGUGUAGCGGUGAAAUGCGUAGAGAUCUGGAGGAAUACCGGUGGCGAAGGCGGCCCCCUGGACAAAGACUGACGCUCAGGUGCGAAAGCGUGGGGAGCAAACAGGAUUAGAUACCCUGGUAGUCCACGCCGUAAACGAUGUCGAUUUGGAGGUUGUGCCCUUGAGGCGUGGCUUCCGGAGCUAACGCGUUAAAUCGACCGCCUGGGGAGUACGGCCGCAAGGUUAAAACUCAAAUGAAUUGACGGGGGCCCGCACAAGCGGUGGAGCAUGUGGUUUAAUUCGAUGCAACGCGAAGAACCUUACCUGGUCUUGACAUCCACAGAACUUUCCAGAGAUGGAUUGGUGCCUUCGGGAACUGUGAGACAGGUGCUGCAUGGCUGUCGUCAGCUCGUGUUGUGAAAUGUUGGGUUAAGUCCCGCAACGAGCGCAACCCUUAUCCUUUGUUGCCAGCGGUUAGGCCGGGAACUCAAAGGAGACUGCCAGUGAUAAACUGGAGGAAGGUGGGGAUGACGUCAAGUCAUCAUGGCCCUUACGACCAGGGCUACACACGUGCUACAAUGGCAUAUACAAAGAGAAGCGACCUCGCGAGAGCAAGCGGACCUCAUAAAGUAUGUCGUAGUCCGGAUUGGAGUCUGCAACUCGACUCCAUGAAGUCGGAAUCGCUAGUAAUCGUAGAUCAGAAUGCUACGGUGAAUACGUUCCCGGGCCUUGUACACACCGCCCGUCACACCAUGGGAGUGGGUUGCAAAAGAAGUAGGUAGCUUAACCUUCGGGAGGGCGCUUACCACUUUGUGAUUCAUGACUGGGGUGAAGUCGUA